This 441-nucleotide ribosomal RNA is filed under the name uncultured bacterium. RNAcentral's name for it is "partial 16S ribosomal RNA". It matches the Rfam family "Bacterial small subunit ribosomal RNA", at positions 339 to 795 of the family's 1533-position model. The record is from RNAcentral.
CUACGGGUUGCAGCAGCAGGGAAUAUUGCACAAUGGACGGAAGUCUGAUGCAGCGACGCCGCGUGGAUGAUGAAGGCCCUCGGGUUGUAAAAUCCUUUUCAGGGGGACGAGGAAGGACGGUACCCUUGGAAUAAGCGUCGGCUAACUACGUGCCAGCGAGCCGCGGUAAGACGUAGGACGCAAGCGUUAUCCGGAUUUACUGGGCGUAAAGCGUCUGUAGGCGGAAUGGUAAGUUGGACGUGAAAGCUCCGGGCUCAACUCGGAGAGGUCGUUCAAUACUGCCAAACUAGAGGGCAUCAGAGGAGCGUGGAAUUUCCGGUGUAGCGGUAAUAUGCGCAGAUAUCGGAAGGAACACCAAUGGCGAAGGCAGCGCUCUGGGAUGAACCUGACGCUAAGAGACGAAAGCUAGGGGAGCGAACAGGAUUAGAUACCCCCGUAGUC